UACGAAGGGGGCUAGCGUUGCUCGGAUUGACUGGGCGUAAAGGGCGCGUAGGCGGUUUGCAUAGUCAGACGUGAAAUUCCUGGGCUUAACCUGGGGACUGCGUUUGAUACAUGCAGGCUUGAGUUCGGAAGAGGGUCGUGGAAUUCCCAGUGUAGAGGUGAAAUUCGUAGAUAUUGGGAAGAACACCGGUGGCGAAGGCGGCGACCUGGUCCGAUACUGACGCUGAGGCGCGAAAGCGUGGGGAGCGAUCCGG
This 253-nucleotide ribosomal RNA is filed under the name uncultured bacterium. Its description in RNAcentral is "partial 16S ribosomal RNA". It matches the Rfam family "Bacterial small subunit ribosomal RNA", at positions 524 to 776 of the family's 1533-position model. The record is from RNAcentral.